GGGGCCCUCGCUCAAGCUCGAUGACGAGGUCCUCUGUCCCGACCACCAUGAUUCCCCAGCAAAUAAGAAGGUCGACCCCCUCGCCCUGUUUAUUUUUCUUUUGAAGUGAUUGUUGUUCUGCUGUUUCGUAUUUCUCCAGGGGCUAUCCAUUUUUCUUGGACUGAAACUGAUGCAGAAAAUGUGGCCAACUUCGUUUUCCUGAUACUCACAAGUUACAGCCAACGAUAGACUAGUUAUGUUGGCUAUUUCCUUUUCCUUUCUCACCGUGCGAGCACUACCAAUGUAGAAUUUGUGAGAUCUGCUAGUUAGUUAAGCAACUACUAAUUUAAUAAUUAAAUGCCCAUGAGAUGCUCUUGUUGGUUCCUUCAAUUUUUCUUGUUUGUGGAAUAAAAGUAAUUGAGUAAUCUCACUCAAUCGAUUGACCAAGAGUAAGAUUGUUAACUAGAUCUGCUAUUACACUGUUGCUCUGUUAUAUAUUAUGUACAAAGUUUAUAUUUGUUAUCAUCAUUUGGUUGAUCAGUCCUCCUCGUCUACUCCUCGCCUACUCUCGCUCUCGCACUAAUUAUAUAUACAAGUCUAGUGUCAGAUCCGUGAAAUGUACUUACUACCAUCAUUUGUUUGUAGCAAAUAUUACAAAUUUUGUUCAUCGCACCUUGUCGUACUCAGAGGCAAGGCAUUAUUUGCUGCCAUCUUGGAUUGUAACAAUUGGGUUUAUUUACUACUCCCUCCGUUCCGAUUUGCUUGUCGUUGUUUUAGUUCAAAAUGAACUAAAACCACGACGAGUAAAUCGGAACGGAGGGAGUAUUAUUCUGUAAGAUUUUUCUAAUGCUAGUUUUCUGGUUUGUCUAGCUUGAAGAACCUCUAACAUUGGUUUUCAUGGAGACAAAAUGAGAAGCUGAUUCAUUGAGAUAUUGGCUAAACAAAAGAGGAUUCCUUGCAACGGCAAUCCCUGGUGACAGAAUACAGUAGGUAAAUACAUAUUCCGAACUCUUCUGCCAUUGCCUAACUUGUUCGUUAGCAGCAAUAUAAAACUGUAAUCCCAACAAAUUAUAGCUAAUAUUUUAAUUUUAAAUAUCUGCCAUGCUGUUUUAACACUGGAAGCUAAAUAACAAGAUACAUUUUUCUCAGCAUGCUAUACUUGUAUGAGUUACAGAUUUCAUAAGUAUCAAGGAUAUAUCUAGCUUAAGCAUAUGUACACCUCUUGUUAUACCUACGACUCUGCUUGGAGUAUCUCUGCUAAGAUUUUAGCUAGUUUAAUAUACCUCGUGUCCACCUGUUAUGCUUAGCUGAAUGUAAGAACAAUUAGGAUGUCGUUAUCAUUACACUAGCAAUGAUAGCUGUAAGUAGUUAUUCCAGACAUGUGAUUCACAUUAUUUUCGAAAGAGGGAAAACCUUUGCCUUGUAUAUUAAUAAAGAAAGAAAAUGUCAAACUAUAUGUAUGUGCCAGAGUUGCACAUGUAACAGAGACAUGUGCUCACAGAUUGCUGCUAGUCUGUUUCCUGUAACCAUGUAAAUACAUUGUUUAUUACAUGGCACUCCUUUGACAUUUUCUUAAAGUUUCUUGAUGAUUCUAUACCACUUCAAUAUGUUACACAUUGUUUACUAUUGUCGGUGCUUUCAGAUGAACUUGCAGCAUAAACAUUUGAGUUUCAUGUGUAAACUUUUUGACAUACAAACAUUUGAAGUUUACGUCGACCGGUUCGAGGAUCAGAGGCUUCGCGUCGUGCAUAUUGUUUGUUAGUGAUGCCAUGUUUUUGGCAUAGAUACUUUGUUAUUAUCAUUUGUAGGAAUUGUAAGAUUUAAGAACUUUGGACAGUACACAAUUCCCUUUUUUCGUGUGUUCUAACUAUCUUGUUUCAACUAUCUAUUCAUAUCACAAGUAUCAAAUGUCGUAAAUAUGCUAGGUAUGAUAUGCAGGUAUGAUUGGGAAGCGGGCUACUUGGUGUUGCUCAUCACAAUCAGCCAAGACAUGAUGGUUGCCAUCAAGAGGGCCGACAACAAUAAUCUAAAUAACAGCCUUGAUAGUUUGUAUGUUCUGUUGAUGUAAAAUGAAUUGUACUCAUUCCUACGUGUGAUGUGUGGUAUAUCUUUGUCAAUCUAUAUUCUAAGUUAUCAUUUUGUAGAGGAUUUUGUAAACUGCUAUGUUACAGAUACAUACAGAUUGUUGCAUACUGUGUUGAACUGUGUAACGUUAUACACUUUGCAAAUACUUUCUCUUGGGCAAAAUUAGCAUUAGUAUUUGUGAAAUGCAUUAUUCUAAACACGUAUUGGGUAAAUAUUGG
Molecule: long non-coding RNA, 2282 nt
Filed under: Triticum aestivum (bread wheat)
Lineage: Eukaryota; Viridiplantae; Streptophyta; Magnoliopsida; Poales; Poaceae
Description: long non-coding RNA (TAES_LNC006613)
Source: RNAcentral